Long non-coding RNA from Melanotaenia boesemani (Boeseman's rainbowfish), 967 nucleotides. RefSeq lists it as uncharacterized. The record is from RefSeq and is a predicted model, not a curated record. The transcript has 5 exons. NCBI's taxonomy places the organism in Eukaryota, Metazoa, Chordata, Actinopteri, Atheriniformes, Melanotaeniidae.
CAUAUGUUUUGAUUUCUGCAAUGAUGUUCCAAUGUUUACAAUCAAAAACUGACAUGUAGGAAAACACACUUGUAAAUGUUUCAGGGUGUGUGCAGUGCACACCUGAAAGUUGGCAAGGUGAUGGAGAAAGUGGUUGAACUGACUGAAGCUGUGGAGAACAGAUUGGCUGCAGGAGCAGUAACAUCAGCGACUCUGCAGCAGAUUCCUACAACCCAUCUCGUGAGGUAAAAAGGAUCCACAGGAGUCUGGAGGAUGGGCACAAAUACAGAGGAAAUGAGAGGUUCACGUCUGAGCACAACUCCGGUGGCACAAAUUCAAUGUUGUGGACAAUUGCAGAUGAAGAGGAAUGUGACACCUCUUUGAUCAGAAGAGCAACAGAUACUUUGAGAACAUCAGGAGGGAAUCUAAGUUGUCAGAAGACAAAGUGGAAGAGGAUCAGAGGGCCAAAGCUCUCAACAACCGAAGACAUAGACUUUUCAAUUCACGCCGAUCUGCUGCUCGCUCAUCUUAACCAAUAAGGAGUACAGAUACCUGGAACGGGCGCCUGCAUGCAUGAUGAGCGACGAGGAGACGGACACUGAAGACAAAGACGUGUGGAAAGCAUGUCCACCUGAAUGGAGGGCAACAAGACUCACGGACAUGUUAGAAAGGUGUCAGCACCACCUCGUUGACCUACAAAAGAUGUCCUCCAGGAUGGUGCACCGGAGAGCGCCCAGUGGUGUAUAGAGCCAGAGGCAGCCGCUGAGAGGAAUCAGAUUCAUUUAUUUGAAAUAAAACUGUGUGCUUUAAUUAAGAAAAAAAGAAAAACAUUGGUCUGUUUUUCAUGUCUGACAUGUUUUCAUUCAGCUAUGCAGUUUUGUAGAUGCACCUGAUUUAUUAGACUGCUUCAUUCUAUUCUGUUCCCACUGUUCAGUUAAUAAUGCUGAUAUUCUUUAUACAGUUUAAUCUGACAAUGUAAUUUUAUAAA